AAACUCACCUGGCAAGGAAGUAAUACCAGGAAUACAAAGGUGGUCUUCUCAAGGUGAGGUUCAUCCAUUGCUCUCCAGGUAUGCUGACCCCUGUCAUUUCCCCAAACGCAGGAGACACAGCUUGAGGCAGUAGUGGCUGCAUUUGUCCUAUACCCUAA
RNAcentral lists this small nuclear RNA (158 nucleotides) under Mesocricetus auratus (golden hamster). RNAcentral describes it as "U1 spliceosomal RNA (ENSMAUG00000005852.1)". Lineage: Eukaryota; Metazoa; Chordata; Mammalia; Rodentia; Cricetidae. The record is from RNAcentral.